GUAAGUUUAAAAAAAUAAAAUUAAUAACUGAUAAAUAGCUAAUAUGAUACUCAUCAGUUACAGUUUAUAUCAACUCUAUUUUUAAAUUUACUAAUUUGAUUUGAUUUUUUAUUUUGAUCAUUUUUUUUAUUUAACUUAAAAAUUAAUAUUAUUAAUACUUUUAUCUUUUUUAUUUAUAAUUUUAAUAUUUUAAUUAACGUAUUUUAACUUUGUUAAAAUAUUUUUUAUU
RNAcentral lists this unclassified non-coding RNA (229 nucleotides) under Hevea brasiliensis (rubber tree). Lineage: Eukaryota; Viridiplantae; Streptophyta; Magnoliopsida; Malpighiales; Euphorbiaceae. The record is from RNAcentral.